CCGAAAGCAUUGCCAUGAUUCCUCUCAUGGCCUCUCAAGGCUUGGGAGCACCAUCCAUUCACAAUAAUCUCUACCUUAGUGCCCCAAGCCUUGGCAAAUCCCGCACAAUCCACCUGUAUGACCCUCCUGCCUUUCUUGUCUCUUGGCACCCAUCAAUGUCCUGUUGUCCUCCAGUACUUCAUGCUUACACAUCUGAUGCAUCCGUAUCUACUGCC
RNAcentral lists this long non-coding RNA (215 nucleotides) under Elaeis guineensis (African oil palm). RNAcentral describes it as "long non-coding RNA (EGUI_LNC028247)". The record is from RNAcentral. Lineage: Eukaryota; Viridiplantae; Streptophyta; Magnoliopsida; Arecales; Arecaceae.